Molecule: ribosomal RNA, 576 nt
Filed under: Microbacterium sp.
Lineage: Bacteria; Bacillati; Actinomycetota; Actinomycetes; Micrococcales; Microbacteriaceae
Description: bacterial SSU rRNA
Rfam family: Bacterial small subunit ribosomal RNA
Source: RNAcentral
GUUGGGAACUAGUUGUGGGGUCCAUUCCACGGAUUCCGUGACGCAGCUAACGCAUUAAGUUCCCCGCCUGGGGAGUACGGCCGCAAGGCUAAAACUCAAAGGAAUUGACGGGGACCCGCACAAGCGGCGGAGCAUGCGGAUUAAUUCGAUGCAACGCGAAGAACCUUACCAAGGCUUGACAUAUACGAGAACGGGCCAGAAAUGGUCAACUCUUUGGACACUCGUAAACAGGUGGUGCAUGGUUGUCGUCAGCUCGUGUCGUGAGAUGUUGGGUUAAGUCCCGCAACGAGCGCAACCCUCGUUCUAUGUUGCCAGCACGUAAUGGUGGGAACUCAUGGGAUACUGCCGGGGUCAACUCGGAGGAAGGUGGGGAUGACGUCAAAUCAUCAUGCCCCUUAUGUCUUGGGCUUCACGCAUGCUACAAUGGCCGGUACAAAGGGCUGCAAUACCGUGAGGUGGAGCGAAUCCCAAAAAGCCGGUCCCAGUUCGGAUUGAGGUCUGCAACUCGACCUCAUGAAGUCGGAGUCGCUAGUAAUCGCAGAUCAGCAACGCUGCGGUGAAUACGUUCCCGGGUCU